AUUCUUAUUCGAAUAGAUACAUUGUAGGGAAGUUACGACGGUGGUUCUGAUUUUCUGGAAGGGGUGAUGCCUAUGCAAAUAGAGCACAAAUCUAACAGAAAGGAGGAACGAUUUUGUCUGUUACUGAUAUAUUGCUAGUCAUGAUUGCAUUCGCAAGUUUACUUGUGGACUUAAUUGGUCUAG
This 183-nucleotide small RNA is filed under the name Streptococcus henryi. Its description in RNAcentral is "Listeria sRNA rli28". It matches the Rfam family "Listeria sRNA rli28". The record is from Rfam by way of RNAcentral. Lineage: Bacteria; Bacillati; Bacillota; Bacilli; Lactobacillales; Streptococcaceae.